This 91-nucleotide transfer RNA is filed under the name Bacteroidota bacterium. RNAcentral describes it as "Bacteroidetes bacterium tRNA-Ser". It matches the Rfam family "tRNA". Rfam says of the family: Transfer RNA (tRNA) molecules are approximately 80 nucleotides in length. Lineage: Bacteria; Pseudomonadati; Bacteroidota. RNAcentral also lists the same sequence under 1 other name. The record is from RNAcentral.
GGAAAGGUGCAAGAGUGGCUUAAUUGGCACGCCUGGAAAGCGUGUGUCCGUGAAUAGCGGACCGAGGGUUCGAAUCCCUCCUUUUCCGCAA